This is a long non-coding RNA of Eriocheir sinensis (Chinese mitten crab), 932 nucleotides long. RefSeq lists it as uncharacterized. Lineage: Eukaryota; Metazoa; Arthropoda; Malacostraca; Decapoda; Varunidae. The transcript has 4 exons. The record is from RefSeq and is a predicted model, not a curated record.
AUAAAUACCAGCCGCCCGAACUCUGGACUCAGUGCCAGCGCCAAGCCUUCAGAGUCUGAGAGCAGCCUCCCUCACACACCUGAGUCACACCUGCCCGUAACACACGCGUUGCCGUACCAAAACACACCCACAGAAGAACUCUGCCAGCUGCUUGAGCCACACGUCACCUUCUCCUCAACAAUGAACUUCAAGCUGGUAUUCCUGGUGCUGGUGGUGAUGCUGAGCACGGUGCUGGGCAUGCCUCAGUACUUCGGCAAGAAGAGAAAGUUCCCCGGCCAGCGGCUGAGGGGCACCACUAACUAUGGCACCCACUCCUUCGGCGAGAAGGGAUACAACGACACGCCCGUCAGCAGACUAGACGAAGACAAAUUGGAAGUCUUUCGCCGCAAGAGGCGGACCUGAGCGGUAGGCCGGGCCUAAGAGAUCCUCCUUGUCUGUGAUCCUCUGAGGACGCUCCACCGAGAUUAGUCGCCUGCUGAGAAGCCAAUCUAUUCCCUAACAUAACCUAAUUUUGUCACCUAUAAUCUAUGAUGAUUAACGAAAUUUCAUUUCUCAAACAUUACAUUUAAGAGCGACUGUAAACUGUGGGUCAUUGCCCCACAAGACUGUAUGUUCAGGUGUAGCAUGACGCUGCAGAUUUACUGCAAGUCACUUCCCAUGCUCCUCCUGACGCGUGAACGACCGUGUGUUGCCGUGCAUGUCUUUAGGUUACUGCAGCACUCGGGGGCUGACAGAGAUGAUGUACGUCUCCGCUCCGCGAGCUGAGAACGUAUUAGCAGCAAUGUUAAGAGUUUUGAGUAGUAUAUGGGAACGUUGCCAAACAGUAUUUUUAUAUUGUAUGUGCGACAGCAUGAAUGUUUGUUGAUAUGAAAUGUCUUAUAUUAUUCAUCACAUUCAGAACAAUAUGUUUCUAUUAAAUUACUUAAUCGUUA